CCAGGACCAUCAGUGUGACUAU
This 22-nucleotide microRNA is filed under the name Mus musculus (house mouse). RNAcentral's name for it is "mmu-miR-1933-3p". The record is from miRBase by way of RNAcentral. Lineage: Eukaryota; Metazoa; Chordata; Mammalia; Rodentia; Muridae.